Long non-coding RNA from Oncorhynchus keta (chum salmon), 1367 nucleotides. RefSeq lists it as uncharacterized. NCBI's taxonomy places the organism in Eukaryota, Metazoa, Chordata, Actinopteri, Salmoniformes, Salmonidae. The record is from RefSeq and is a predicted model, not a curated record. The transcript has 6 exons.
AUAUCUGACUAGGUUGGAACUGUUGUUACAUAUCUGACUAGGUUGGAACUGUUGUUACAUAUCUGACUAGGUUGGAACUGUUGUUACAUAUCUGACUAGGUUGGAACUGUUGUUACAUAUCUGACUAGGUUGGAACUGUUGUUACAUAUCUGACUAGGUUGGAACUGUUGUUACAUAUCUGACUAGGUUGGAACUGUUGUUACAUAUCUGACUAGGUUGGAACUGUUGUUACAUAUCUGACUAGGUUGGAACUGGUGUUACAUAUCUGACUAGGUUGGAACUGUUGUUACAUAUCUGUCUAGGUUGGAACUGUUGUUACAUAUCUGUCUAGGUUGGAACUGUUGUUACAUAUCUGUCUAGGUUGGAACUGUUGUUACAUAUCUGACUAGGUUGGAACUGGUGUUACAUAUCUGUCUAGGUUGGAACUGUUGUUACAUAUCUGCCUAGGUUGGAACUGUUGUUACAUAUCUGUCUAGGUUGGAACUGUUGUUACAUAUCUGUCUAGGUUGGAACUGUUGUUACAUAUCUGUCUAGAUUGGAACUGUUGUUACAUAUCUGUCUCGGUUGGAACUGUUGUUACAUAUCUGACUAGGUUGGAACUGUUGUUACAUAUCUGUCUAGGUUGGAACUGUUGUUACAUAUCUGUCUAGGUUGGAACUGUUGUUACAUAUCUGUCUAGGUUGGAACUGUUGUUACAUAUCUGACUAGGUUGGAACUGUUGUUACAUAUCUGACUAGGUUGGAACUGUUGUUACAUAUCUGUCUAGGUUGGAACUGUUGUUACAUAUCUGUCUAGGUUGGAACUGUUGUUACAUAUCUGUCUAGGUUGGAACUGUUGUUACAUAUCUGACUAGGUUGGAACUGUUGUUACAUAUCUGUCUAGGUUGGAACUGUUGUUACAUAUCUGACUAGGUUGGAACUGUUGUUACAUAUCUGACUAGGUUGGAACUGUUGUUACAUAUCUGACUAGGUAGGAACUGUUGUUACAUAUCUGUCUAGGUUGGAACAGUUGUUACAUAUCUGUCUAGGUUGGAACUGUUGUUACAUAUCUGUCUAGGUUGGAGCUGUUGUUACAUAUCUGUCUAGGUUGGAACUGUUGUUACGUAUCUGUCUAGGUUGGAACUGUUGUUACAUAUCUGACUAGGUUGGAACUGUUGUUACAUAUCUGUCUAGGUUGGAACUGUUGUUACGUAUCUGUCUAGGUUGGAACUGUUGUUACAUAUCUGACUAGGUUGGAACUGUUGUUACAUAUCUGUCUAGGUUGGAACUGUUGCUGUGUCAUGAUGCAGGACCUUCAACGAGCCGUGAACUCCGGAUAAGAACGCCUGAGGCCAGAGUUGCAUCUAACUAGAUUUGUUUGACUAAUUC